Molecule: ribosomal RNA, 156 nt
Filed under: Hypericum calycinum
Lineage: Eukaryota; Viridiplantae; Streptophyta; Magnoliopsida; Malpighiales; Hypericaceae
Also listed under: 8 other names
Description: 5.8S ribosomal RNA
Rfam family: 5.8S ribosomal RNA
About the family: 5.8S ribosomal RNA (5.8S rRNA) is a component of the large subunit of the eukaryotic ribosome. It is transcribed by RNA polymerase I as part of the 45S precursor that also contains 18S and 28S rRNA.
Source: RNAcentral
AAAACGACUCUCGGCAACGGAUAUCUAGGCUCUUGCAUCGAUGAAGAACGUAGCGAAAUGCGAUACUUGGUGUGAAUUGCAGAAUCCCGUGAACCAUCGAGUCUUUGAACGCAAGUUGCGCCCGAAGCCUUCUGGCCGAGGGCACGUCUGCCUGGG